Molecule: ribosomal RNA, 488 nt
Filed under: uncultured bacterium
Lineage: Bacteria
Description: partial 16S ribosomal RNA
Rfam family: Bacterial small subunit ribosomal RNA
Source: RNAcentral
GACGAACGCUGGCGGCGUGCUUAACACAUGCAAGUCGAACGCGCCUGUCCUCUGGGUUUCUGGGGGGUGGGUGAGUGGCGAACGGGUGAGUAACACGUGAGUAACCUGCCCCCUUCUUCGGGAUAACGGUCUGAAAGGGCUGCUAAUACCGGGUAUUCACUGGUCUCCGCAUGGGGUCUGGUGGAAAGGUUUUUUUCUGGUGGGGGAUGGGCUCGCGGCCUAUCAGCUUGUUGGUGGGGUGAUGGCCCACCAAGGCUUUGACGGGUAGCCGGCCUGAGAGGGUGACCGGUCACAUUGGGACUGAGAUACGGCCCAGACUCCUCCGGGAGGCAGCAGUGGGGAAUAUUGCACAAUGGGCGCAAGCCUGAUGCAGCGACGCCGCGUGAGGGAUGGAGGCCUUCGGGUUGUGAACCUCUUUCGCCCGUGGUCAAGCCGCGACGUGGGUCGUGGUGAGGGUAGUGGGUAAAGAAGCGCCGGCUAACUACGUG